GACGAACGCUGGCGGCGUGCCUAAUACAUGCAAGUCGAGCGAAGUUUUUCUGGUGCUUGCGUUAUAGAAACUUAACGGCGAGCGGGUGAGGAAGACGUAAAGAACCUCCCUCAUAGAUUGGGACAGCUAUUGGGAACUAUAGCUAAUACGGGAUAACAGUAUUUGUCGCAGUUGGGAUGUUUAAUAGUUGGUUGUGCUAACACUAUGAUAUGGCUUUGCGGUGGAUUAGCUAGUGUGUGGGGUAGAGGCCCACCAACGCGACGAUGCAUAGCCGACGUGAGAGGGUGAAGGGCCCCACUGGGAGUGAGACACGGCCCAGACUCCUACGGGCGGCACCGGUAGGGAAUGUUGCGCACUGGGCGAAAGACUGAAGGAGCGACGCCGGGCGAGUGCAGAGGGAUUUCGGUUCGUAUAGCUGUGUUGUUAGGGAAGAAUGGAUAUGUUGUAGAUAUAGCUGUAAGAGACGGUACCUAAACAGAAAGCCACGGCUAACUACGUG
This 499-nucleotide ribosomal RNA is filed under the name uncultured bacterium. RNAcentral's name for it is "partial 16S ribosomal RNA". It matches the Rfam family "Bacterial small subunit ribosomal RNA", at positions 28 to 507 of the family's 1533-position model. The record is from RNAcentral.